RNAcentral lists this ribosomal RNA (1540 nucleotides) under Klebsiella pneumoniae. RNAcentral describes it as "bacterial SSU rRNA". It matches the Rfam family "Bacterial small subunit ribosomal RNA". The record is from RNAcentral. Lineage: Bacteria; Pseudomonadati; Pseudomonadota; Gammaproteobacteria; Enterobacterales; Enterobacteriaceae.
AAAUUGAAGAGUUUGAUCAUGGCUCAGAUUGAACGCUGGCGGCAGGCCUAACACAUGCAAGUCGAGCGGUAGCACAGAGAGCUUGCUCUCGGGUGACGAGCGGCGGACGGGUGAGUAAUGUCUGGGAAACUGCCUGAUGGAGGGGGAUAACUACUGGAAACGGUAGCUAAUACCGCAUAAUGUCGCAAGACCAAAGUGGGGGACCUUCGGGCCUCAUGCCAUCAGAUGUGCCCAGAUGGGAUUAGCUAGUAGGUGGGGUAACGGCUCACCUAGGCGACGAUCCCUAGCUGGUCUGAGAGGAUGACCAGCCACACUGGAACUGAGACACGGUCCAGACUCCUACGGGAGGCAGCAGUGGGGAAUAUUGCACAAUGGGCGCAAGCCUGAUGCAGCCAUGCCGCGUGUGUGAAGAAGGCCUUCGGGUUGUAAAGCACUUUCAGCGGGGAGGAAGGCGAUAAGGUUAAUAACCUUGUCGAUUGACGUUACCCGCAGAAGAAGCACCGGCUAACUCCGUGCCAGCAGCCGCGGUAAUACGGAGGGUGCAAGCGUUAAUCGGAAUUACUGGGCGUAAAGCGCACGCAGGCGGUCUGUCAAGUCGGAUGUGAAAUCCCCGGGCUCAACCUGGGAACUGCAUUCGAAACUGGCAGGCUAGAGUCUUGUAGAGGGGGGUGGAAUUCCAGGUGUAGCGGUGAAAUGCGUAGAGAUCUGGAGGAAUACCGGUGGCGAAGGCGGCCCCCUGGACAAAGACUGACGCUCAGGUGCGAAAGCGUGGGGAGCAAACAGGAUUAGAUACCCUGGUAGUCCACGCCGUAAACGAUGUCGAUUUGGAGGUUGUGCCCUUGAGGCGUGGCUUCCGGAGCUAACGCGUUAAAUCGACCGCCUGGGGAGUACGGCCGCAAGGUUAAAACUCAAAUGAAUUGACGGGGGCCCGCACAAGCGGUGGAGCAUGUGGUUUAAUUCGAUGCAACGCGAAGAACCUUACCUGGUCUUGACAUCCACAGAACUUUCCAGAGAUGGAUUGGUGCCUUCGGGAACUGUGAGACAGGUGCUGCAUGGCUGUCGUCAGCUCGUGUUGUGAAAUGUUGGGUUAAGUCCCGCAACGAGCGCAACCCUUAUCCUUUGUUGCCAGCGGUUAGGCCGGGAACUCAAAGGAGACUGCCAGUGAUAAACUGGAGGAAGGUGGGGAUGACGUCAAGUCAUCAUGGCCCUUACGACCAGGGCUACACACGUGCUACAAUGGCAUAUACAAAGAGAAGCGACCUCGCGAGAGCAAGCGGACCUCAUAAAGUAUGUCGUAGUCCGGAUUGGAGUCUGCAACUCGACUCCAUGAAGUCGGAAUCGCUAGUAAUCGUAGAUCAGAAUGCUACGGUGAAUACGUUCCCGGGCCUUGUACACACCGCCCGUCACACCAUGGGAGUGGGUUGCAAAAGAAGUAGGUAGCUUAACCUUCGGGAGGGCGCUUACCACUUUGUGAUUCAUGACUGGGGUGAAGUCGUAACAAGGUAACCGUAGGGGAACCUGCGGUUGGAUCACCUCCUUA